GAUAAACGCUGGCGGCGUGCCUAACACAUGCAAGUCGAACGUCCUCCCCCUUUGGGGGGAGGCAGUGGCGGACAGGUGAGUAGCACAUGGGUGACCUGCCUUCCAGUGAGGAAUACCGGCGAGAAAUCGCCGACAAUGCCGCAUACGCUCGCGGGAUCACAGCCGGGAGCAAAGCCCCGCAAGGGGCGCUGGAAGAGGGGCCCGUGGCCGAUUAGCUGGUUGGUGGGGUAAGAGCCUACCAAGGCGACGAUCGGUAGCUGGUCUGAGAGGACGAUCAGCCACACUGGGAUUGAGAACGGCCCAGACUCCUACGGGGGGCAGCAGUGAGGAAUUUUCCGCAAUGGACGCAAGUCUGACGGAGCAACGCCGCGUGCAGGAGGACGGUCUUCGGAUCGUAAACUGCUUUUCCCAGGGACGAGUAAGGACGGUACCUGGGGAACAAGCCCCGGCUAACUACGUGCCAGCAGCCGCGGUAAUACGUAGGGGGCAAGCGUUGUCCGGAGUUACUGGGCGUAAAGCGCCCGCAGGCGGUCGCGUCAGUUCGCGGUGACAGCGCUGAGCUUAACUCAGCGAGGACCGAGAAGACGGCGUGACUUGAGGGCCAGAGAGGGACAUGGAACUCCGGGUGGAGUGGUGAAAUGCGUAGAGAUCCGGAAGAACACCAAAGGCGAAGGCAGUGUCCUGGCUGGCACCUGACGCUCGGGGGCGAAAGCGAGGGGAGCGAACGGGAUUAGAUACCCCGGUAGUCCUCGCCGUAAACGAUGACCACUAGGUGUGGGAGGGAUCGACCCCUUCCGUGCCGGCGUUAACGCACUAAGUGGUCCGCCUGGGGAGUACGGUCGCAAGAUUA
This 850-nucleotide ribosomal RNA is filed under the name uncultured bacterium. RNAcentral's name for it is "bacterial SSU rRNA". It matches the Rfam family "Bacterial small subunit ribosomal RNA", at positions 28 to 896 of the family's 1533-position model. The record is from RNAcentral.